AGAGUUUGAUUCUGGCUCAGGAUGAACGCUGGCGGCGUGCCUAAUACAUGCAAGUCGAACGCAUAGCGAAAGGUGCUUGCACCUUUCAAGUGAGUGGCGAACGGGUGAGUAACACGUGGACAACCUGCCUCAAGGCUGGGGAUAACAUUUGGAAACAGAUGCUAAUACCGAAUAAAACUUAGUGUCGCAUGACACAAAGUUAAAAGGCGCUUCGGCGUCACCUAGAGAUGGAUCCGCGGUGCAUUAGUUAGUUGGUGGGGUAAAGGCCUACCAAGACAAUGAUGCAUAGCCGAGUUGAGAGACUGAUCGGCCACAUUGGGACUGAGACACGGCCCAAACUCCUACGGGAGGCUGCAGUAGGGAAUCUUCCACAAUGGGCGAAAGCCUGAUGGAGCAACGCCGCGUGUGUGAUGAAGGCUUUCGGGUCGUAAAGCACUGUUGUAUGGGAAGAACAGCUAGAAUAGGAAAUGAUUUUAGUUUGACGGUACCAUACCAGAAAGGGACGGCUAAAUACGUGCCAGCAGCCGCGGUAAUACGUAUGUCCCGAGCGUUAUCCGGAUUUAUUGGGCGUAAAGCGAGCGCAGACGGUUUAUUAAGUCUGAUGUGAAAGCCCGGAGCUCAACUCCGGAAUGGCAUUGGAAACUGGUUAACUUGAGUGCAGUAGAGGUAAGUGGAACUCCAUGUGUAGCGGUG
RNAcentral lists this ribosomal RNA (693 nucleotides) under uncultured bacterium. RNAcentral's name for it is "bacterial SSU rRNA". It matches the Rfam family "Bacterial small subunit ribosomal RNA", at positions 8 to 683 of the family's 1533-position model. RNAcentral also lists the same sequence under 1 other name. The record is from RNAcentral.